RNAcentral lists this ribosomal RNA (2651 nucleotides) under metagenome. RNAcentral describes it as "eukaryotic LSU rRNA". The stretch from base 372 to 2651 matches the Rfam family "Eukaryotic large subunit ribosomal RNA", at positions 1 to 2347 of the family's 3401-position model. The record is from RNAcentral.
ACUGGUAGCAUUGGAUCCCUUGGCACGCCAUUCGAUGAAGAACGUUGCAAACUGCGAUAAGUGAUGUGAAAUGCGAGUCCAAAACUUAUACGUGAAUCAUCGAAUCUUUGAACGCAUUGCAUCGAGCUUUGCCCAAGCACGAUAUGCCCCAUUGAGCGUCCUUAAGUCUUUAGGAAUGUUUAUUCAUUACUAAGUUCGGGCUUCAUGGCUUAACCGUCACGUUGCCUUAGAUGCAUUACGCGUCGCACUAAUGUUGCGCUCCUUGUUGUACACUUCAAGGCGCUUCCUAAUGCGUUAUCGCACUUACGCUCAGAGCCUUUGGCGACGAGCAGAACCGUGUUCCGUCCUCGGACAGUUCACCCUUCCUUGACUUAACCUCACGGGGGCAAGACGACCCGCUAGACUUAAGCAUAUUAAUCAGCGGAGGAAAAGAAACUAACAAGGAUUCCCCUAGUAACUGCGAGUGAAGAGGGAAGAGCUCAAUGUGUGAAUCUGAUCGGGUGUAACGCCUGGUUCGAAUUGUGCACUAUUGACGCUGGAUCAGCGUUCGGAAACUACCGUCGGAUGUCCGGUGUAAUCCGGUGCCAUAGCGGGUAACAGCCCUGUACACGACACUCAGUAUCCACGCAUAUGACCAGUGUUCAUCGAGUCGCGUAGUUUUGUAUUGCUGCGCUAAUUGGGAGGUAGAGCCCUUCUAAAGCUAAAUAUUAUGGCGUGACCGAUAGCAAACAAGUACCGUGAGGGAAAGGUGAAAAGCAACCAUGCAGAAUGGGUUGAAACAGAAGUGAAAGUGCUACCGGGAUAAGGACUAUUGAUUACAAGUGUGGAUUGCGUGUGCUUCAGUGCUACGCUGACCGCCGUCGUGCAUCGAUUGGGGACUGGGGAGAACAGGGCAGUUGGGGAUUCGGCUCGGUCUCGAGUGUUGUAACCCUUCGGCCAGUGGAACCCCCCUCGAUCGGAUUCAAGGUGCAUUGGUUGUGAUUAUUAGUCGCCCGUCUUGAAACACGGACCAAGGAGUGUACCUUGCAUGCGAGUCUAAGGGACUGUAAUCCUCUAGGCGUAGCGAAAGCGACGUGAGCGAAUCGUGUAACAGCGAGGAUGCUCCACCUGCCUUGUGCAAGGUUGAGCAUGUAGGGUGCGACCCGAAAGAUGGUGAACUAUGCCCGGGUAAGGUGAAGCCAGUGGAAACGCUGGUGGAAGCCUGUAGCGGUUCUGACGUGCAGAUCGAUCGUGUAACCUGGGUAUAGGGGCGAAAGACCUAACGAACCGUCUAAUGGCUGGUUCCCCCCGAAGUUUCCCUCAGGAUAGCUGUGUCUAAGUAGUGCCAGUUGCACGCGGUAGAGCGAAUGAUUAGGUGUCUCGGGGACUUAUUGACCUCGGCUCAUUCUCAAACUGCGAAUAGCGUGCGUCCGCGUCGUGUCUUAUCAGCACGCCGGGUUAAUGGUCAGACGCAAGUGGGCUGGUUUUGGUAAGCAGAACUGGCGAUGUGGGAUCAACCAAACGUCAUUUUAAGGUGCCCAACUGCAUGCUAACGGAUUACAAAAAAGGUGUUGGGUGGUGAUGACAGCAGGACGGUGGCCAUGGAAGUCGGCAUCCGCUAAGAAGUGUGUAACAACUUACCUGCCGAAUCGCUCAGCCCUGAAAAUGGAUGGCGCUCAAGCAUGCGACCGAUAAAUGACCGAUGAGGUCGCAAUCAGGACCCAUCGUGUAGGGGGGCGUGGAGGUCACGCGGCGAAGGCUGGCGCGUGAGCGCGGCUGGAGCGGCCUCUAGUGCCGAUCUUGGUGGAAGUAGCGAAUAUUCCUGUGUGAUCCUCGAAGACUGAAGUGGAGAAAGGUUCCUGGCUUACCGCAUUGGAGCUGGGGUGAGUCGAUCCUAAGCGGGAGGAGAACUCCUCGAAUACAAGGCGUCUGCGCGCGUCCUUGACCGCCGAAAGGGAAAGCCGCUAACAUUCGGCUACAGCAUUGGGGUGUCCUAGGCGGCAACGCGAAAUGACCCAAGGGAAGGUGCACCGGGACUGGGAGCAAGUUAUCUUGUUGCUGAAAUCGUGGCCAGGCCUUGGAAAUGGGUCGUCCAGAGAGAGGGCUCGGUCCACGACGAGCGGCCCUUCAUGCCGUCCCAUGAUUCCUGUGCAUUCCUUGAAAACCUUGGUGACCACUUAACGCCCGAGGCUAUUGCUGUCGUACUAUAAUCCGCAACAGGUCUCCUAGGUGUGCAGCCUCUAGUCUAAUGGAAGAAUGUGGGUAAGGGAAGUCGGCAAGCCAGCUCCGUAACUUUGGGAAAAGGGGUGGCUCUGAGGGCUGGGUGUAUUCGGCCUGGGAACGCCUGGUGAUGUUGGUCGCGGAGGGGUUUCGGCUCCUUGCUGUGCCACUCGCCGCUAUUACCGGUAUCCUUAUGCACUGCGAACAGCCAGCUCAGAACUGGCACGGACAAGGGGAAUCUGACUGUCUAAUUAAAACAUAGCAUUGCGAUGGUCUCUACGGACGUUGACGCAAUGUGAUUUCUGCCCAGUGCUCUGAAUGUCAAAGUGAAGAAAUUCGACCAAGCGCGGGUUAACGGCGGGAGUAACUAUGACUCUCUUAAGGUAGCCAAAUGCCUCGUCAUCUAAUUAGUGACGCGCAUGAAUGGAUUAACGAGAUUCCCACUGUCCCUA